RNAcentral lists this long non-coding RNA (307 nucleotides) under Mytilus galloprovincialis (Mediterranean mussel). Lineage: Eukaryota; Metazoa; Mollusca; Bivalvia; Mytilida; Mytilidae. The record is from RNAcentral.
GGGGUGCACUGGGGAAAAAAAAAUUUCUCUGAAAUCCCACAGAAUUUUUUCUCUGCCUGUUCUCCCGGUUUUUUUUAAUUUUUGUUUUUGGAAUUUUUUUUAUUGUUUUUUGGGUGUUUUUAAUAACGUUUUUUUUUUCCAAAGUAAAAAAAAAAUUUUUUGGGAGUAAGAAAAUUUUGGUGUUUUUGGGUGUUUUUUGCUUUUUUUAUGAAAAUUUAGGGCUUUUUUUACUUGAAAUGAGGGUAAUUUUUUAGGGGUCAAAUUUGUUUUUUUUUUGGAGGGGGGUUAUAGGUGUGUGAUAUUGUGU